RNAcentral lists this ribosomal RNA (301 nucleotides) under uncultured bacterium. RNAcentral's name for it is "partial 16S ribosomal RNA". It matches the Rfam family "Bacterial small subunit ribosomal RNA", at positions 509 to 807 of the family's 1533-position model. The record is from RNAcentral.
CAGUCGCCACGGUAAUACGAAGGGCGCAAGCGUUAAUCGGAAUUACUGGGCGUAAAGCGUGCGUAGGCGGUGAGUUAAGUCUGCUGUGAAAUCCCCGGGCUCAACCUGGGAAUGGCAGUGGAUACUGGCUCGCUAGAGUGUGUCAGAGGAUGGUGGAAUUCCCGGUGUAGCGGUGAAAUGCGUAGAGAUCGGGAGGAACAUCAGUGGCGAAGGCGGCCAUCUGGGACAACACUGACGCUGAGGCACGAAAGCGUGGGGAGCAAACAGGAUUAGAUACCCGCGUAGUCCCUGUCUCUUAUAC